This is a long non-coding RNA of Diceros bicornis minor, 272 nucleotides long. RefSeq lists it as uncharacterized. The transcript is spliced from 3 exons. The record is from RefSeq and is a predicted model, not a curated record. Lineage: Eukaryota; Metazoa; Chordata; Mammalia; Perissodactyla; Rhinocerotidae.
GCAACAUGUAGCUGAUUGGCUGAAAUUCACGUCAUAAAUCAGAAGCAGUCUUAAAAGAAUGGAUUCCCUCUUGCUAUUUUAAACCUGAUACUUCACUUCAUAAUGGAGUUAUGAAAUAAGACCUGUGGGAUCCCAACCUUUGAGGAUGACUGUCCAUUCUACCCUCCCUUCACUCUAAUAGCUGCCACUACUCAUCAAUGAGUUGUCAAGAGAAACUAGCCCAUCAGUCGCCUUUGCCUUAAACUAACAAGGAGCAAAGAAGAUACACAUCU